AGCGAACGCUGGCGGCAGGCUUAACACAUGCAAGUCGAGCGGGCGUAGCAAUACGUCAGCGGCAGACGGGUGAGUAACGCGUGGGAACGUACCUUUUGGUUCGGAACAACACAGGGAAACUUGUGCUAAUACCGGAUAAGCACUUACGGGGAAAGAUUUAUCGCCGAAAGAUCGGCCCGCGUCUGAUUAGCUAGUUGGUAGGGUAAUGGCCUACCAAGGCGACGAUCAGUAGCUGGUCUGAGAGGAUGAUCAGCCACAUUGGGACUGAGACACGGCCCAAACUCCUACGGGAGGCAGAAGUGGGGAAUAUUGGACAAUGGGGGCAACCCUGAUCCAGCCAUGCCGCGUGAGUGAUGAAGGCCCUAGGGUUGUAAAGCUCUUUUUUGCGGGAAGAUAAUGACGGUACCGCAAGAAUAAGCCCCGGCUAACUUCGUGCCAGCAGCCGCCGUAA
This 451-nucleotide ribosomal RNA is filed under the name uncultured bacterium. RNAcentral's name for it is "partial 16S ribosomal RNA". It matches the Rfam family "Bacterial small subunit ribosomal RNA", at positions 29 to 523 of the family's 1533-position model. The record is from RNAcentral.